This 301-nucleotide ribosomal RNA is filed under the name uncultured bacterium. RNAcentral describes it as "partial 16S ribosomal RNA". It matches the Rfam family "Bacterial small subunit ribosomal RNA", at positions 509 to 807 of the family's 1533-position model. The record is from RNAcentral.
CAGUCGCCGCGGUAAUACGAAGGGGGCUAGCGUUGUUCGGAAUUACUGGGCGUAAAGGGCGCGUAGGCGGCCAUUCAAGUUAGAUGUGAAAGCCCUGGGCUCAACCUAGGAAUUGCAUUUGAUACUGUUUGGCUUGAGUUCGGGAGAGGUGAGUGGAAUUCCCAGUGUAGAGGUGAAAUUCGUAGAUAUUGGGAAGAACACCAGUGGCGAAGGCGGCUCACUGGACCGACACUGACGCUGAGGCGCGAAAGCGUGGGGAGCAAACAGGAUUAGAGACCCCCGUAGUCCCUGUCUCUUAUAC